AGUGAACGCUGGCGGUAGGCCUAACACAUGCAAGUCGAACGGCAGCACAGUAAGAGCUUGCUCUUACGGGUGGCGAGUGGCGGACGGGUGAGGAAUACAUCGGAAUCUACUUUUUCGUGGGGGAUAACGUAGGGAAACUUACGCUAAUACCGCAUACGACCUACGGGUGAAAGCAGGGGAUCUUCGGACCUUGCGCGAUUGAAUGAGCCGAUGUCGGAUUAGCUAGUUGGCGGGGUAAAGGCCCACCAAGGCGACGAUCCGUAGCUGGUCUGAGAGGAUGAUCAGCCACACUGGAACUGAGACACGGUCCAGACUCCUACGGGAGACAGCAGUGGGGAAUAUUGGACAAUGGGCGCAAGCCUGAUCCAGCCAUACCGCGUGGGUGAAGAAGGCCUUCGGGUUGUAAAGCCCUUUUGUUGGGAAAGAAAAGCAGCAGGUUAAUACCCCGCUGCUCUGACGGUACCCAAAGAAUAAGCACCGGCUAACUUCGUG
Molecule: ribosomal RNA, 492 nt
Filed under: uncultured bacterium
Lineage: Bacteria
Description: partial 16S ribosomal RNA
Rfam family: Bacterial small subunit ribosomal RNA
Source: RNAcentral